UUGCGCAGUCGUGUUACCGGUGACACGAGGAAGUGUACCGGUACACUUUGGGCUUGUAACAUAUCAGAUUUUGAUAUAAAAGUGAAAAAUAAAUAAAAAUAGUGUGAGAUGCUAUUUUUAUUGGAUUUAGAGAAGUAAAAUAUAAGUCGGAAACGACUCGUGCUGAAAUCGGAACGAAAAUAGAAGAUUUAGAAUUUUCUGUGAGAAACGGAGCUGAUAUUUUAGCAGAAAAUGUACAGUGUCAGAAAAUUAUGAAAACUGGAGAAUAUGUCGGAAUUAUUUUUAUGAGGCUAGAUUUAAAGUUUUAUGUCAUUCUGACACCCGGAAGGUGGAAAAUAAAAUUCGACUGCUAUCUGCUAGAAAUUACAGUUCGGUGGAGCUUUCGGUGACCAAAAGUGGUCGAAACUGAAAA
Molecule: long non-coding RNA, 412 nt
Filed under: Ananas comosus (pineapple)
Lineage: Eukaryota; Viridiplantae; Streptophyta; Magnoliopsida; Poales; Bromeliaceae
Description: long non-coding RNA (ACOM_LNC042799)
Source: RNAcentral